GAUGAACGCUGGCGGCGUGCCUAAUACAUGCAAGUCGAGCGAACGGACGAGAAGCUUGCUUCUCUGAUGUUAGCGGCGGACGGGUGAGUAACACGUGGAUAACCUACCUAUAAGACUGGGAUAACUUCGGGAAACCGUAGCUAAUACCGGAUAAUAUUUUGAACCGCAUGGUUCAAAAGUGAAAGACGCUCUUGCUGUCACUUAUAGAUGGAUCCGCUCUGCAUUAGCUAGUUGGUAAGGUACCGGCUUACCAAGGCAACGAUGCAUAGCCGACCUGAGAGGUGGAUCGGCAACACUGGAACUGAGCCAGGGCCCAGACUCCUACGGGAGGCAGAAGUAGGGAAUCUUCCGCAAUGGGCGAAAGCCUGACGGAGAAAGCCCGCGUGAGGGAUGAAGGUCUUCGGAUCGUAAAACUCUGUUAUUAGGGAAGAACAUAUGUGUAAGUAACUGUGCACAUCGUGACGGUACCUAAUCAGAAAGCCACGGCUAACUACGUG
RNAcentral lists this ribosomal RNA (497 nucleotides) under uncultured bacterium. RNAcentral's name for it is "partial 16S ribosomal RNA". It matches the Rfam family "Bacterial small subunit ribosomal RNA", at positions 28 to 507 of the family's 1533-position model. The record is from RNAcentral.